GGCGGACGGUGAGUAACGCGUAGAAUGUACCCCAAAGUGAGGAAUAACUGCCCGAAAGGGUAGCUAAUGCCGCAUGUGAUCCACGGAUUAAAGCUUUAUGCGCUUUGGGAACGGCCUGCGUCUGAUUAGCUUGUUGGUGAGGUAAAAGCUCACCAAGGCGACGAUCGGUAGCUGGUCUGAGAGGAUGAUCAGCCAGACUGGGACUGAGACACGGCCCAGACUCCUACGGGAGGCAGCAGUAGGGAAUUUUCCACAAUGGGCGAAAGCCUGAUGGAGCAACGCCGCGUGCAGGAUGAAGGCCUUCGGGUUGUAAACUGUUUUCUCCGUGACGAUUAUGACGGUAGCAGAGGAAUCAGGAUCGGUAAACUCCGUGCCA
Molecule: ribosomal RNA, 376 nt
Filed under: uncultured bacterium
Lineage: Bacteria
Description: bacterial SSU rRNA
Rfam family: Bacterial small subunit ribosomal RNA
Source: RNAcentral